ACCAGGACGGUCACACUGCUGCUCUCCUGCUACACACAACACAACACAACACAACACAACACAACACAACACAACACAACACAACACACACAGGAAACACGUAGAGUGAAGCUGUGAUAGCACUGAACGCCACACUGACUGACUCACUGAGCAGCUCCGGAGACGAAGCCACACACUGCAGUAACACAGCCUGUGUGUUUCACACGGGGUCAGCUCACACCUCAGUGCUGAUGAAGCCGUUGGAGGAGGAAGAGGAGGAAGUGAGAGAGCUCCCUGUGGUCAGCUGACCUGCAGGACGAGGAAACGAAAGCAGAUAUUUUCAGGACGUCUGUGUCAGCAGCUCCGCGUGAUGAUGCAGGCCGAUCCUCCGCCAGUCCGCGCGCACCUCACCGUGAGUUUGCGCGUGUGUCUGCGUACCUGUCGUGGGACCGGCUGCCGUCAGCGGCGUGGACGUGUCUCUGUGGACAGGUGCUGAUGUGGUCGUCUGCGGAGCUGAAACAGACGAGCGGUGUGAGGUCAGCGUCGGACUCAGGCCGUCCAUGUGUGGUUUAAAGUUGUGCGUUCUGACACACGACACGUCACACGUCACACACGUUGUACCUGCACGUCAGUGUCGUAAAGCACGUGCCUGAGCUGCUUCCACAGGCAAAGAGUCUGACCCCAGAUCAGCAGACACCUGGCUCACAGGGGGGAGCCUCCUGCUGAGGGCCGGGCUGGGUCAGAGGAGGAAGAGGAGGACAUGCAGCAUAUAGAACAUGAUACACACAGGAAGUGGACGAUGUUAGAGGGACAGCAUUCAGAUCCCAGAACAGUGAGUGGACACUGUGUCCUCAGCAGGUUACAGCUGUGAUAGGAGACAGAGCACAGGAGCAAACAGCUGUAUGGAUCCAACAUGGACCUGAAGCAGAGCGGGACAUUAAACACAGUCAUGUGUUGUAAUGUCUCCACCAACCUGCCGAUCACAUGAUCAGCUGAUGAACAACCAGCUCAAAGCUUCUUCAGGUGAACGCUGAGCCUCUCGGUUCCAUCAGUCCCACCGUCUGUGCUGCGUGUUACACAGACUCAGACUGACUGACUCAGAUUUCCUCCUUUCCUUCAUUAAUUCACGUGACGUUUGCAGAAAGACUAUUUCUCUAAAUAAUGUCUAUACUGUUUAUUUUUACCAUUAGAAGUUUAUGUGGAGGCUGAGUGCCUGUGUAUUGCUGCUGUGAUAGCGAAAUUUCCCAGCUUGGGAUGAAUAAAGUAUUUCUAUUCUA
Molecule: long non-coding RNA, 1256 nt
Organism: Toxotes jaculatrix (banded archerfish)
Lineage: Eukaryota; Metazoa; Chordata; Actinopteri; Toxotidae
Exons: 2
Source: RefSeq, a predicted model, not a curated record